RNAcentral lists this ribosomal RNA (460 nucleotides) under uncultured bacterium. RNAcentral describes it as "partial 16S ribosomal RNA". It matches the Rfam family "Bacterial small subunit ribosomal RNA", at positions 338 to 795 of the family's 1533-position model. The record is from RNAcentral.
CCUACGGGUGGCAGCAGUGAGGAAUAUUGGUCAAUGGACGAGAGUCUGAACCAGCCAAGUAGCGUGAAGGAUGACUGCCCUAUGGGUUGUAAACUUCUUUUAUAUGGGAAUAAAAUGUUCCACGUGUGGGCUUUUGUAUGUACCAUAAGAAUAAGAAUCGGCUAAGUCCGUACCAGGAGCCGCGGUAAUACGGAGGAUACGGGCGUUAUCCGGAUUUAUUGGGUUUAAAGGGAGCGUAGGGGGUUUGUUAAGUCAGUUGUGAAAGUUUGCGGCUUAACCGUAAAAUUGCAGUUGAAACUGGGAGGCUUGAGUACAGUAGAGGGGGGUGGAAUUCGUGGUGUAGCGGUGAAAUGCUUAGAUAUGACGAAGAACUCCGAUUGCGAAGGCAGCUCACUGGACUGCAACUGACGCUGAGGCUCGAAAGUGUGGGUAUCAAACAGGAUUAGAUACCCCUGUAGUC